Molecule: ribosomal RNA, 207 nt
Filed under: uncultured Arcobacter sp.
Lineage: Bacteria; Pseudomonadati; Campylobacterota; Epsilonproteobacteria; Campylobacterales; Arcobacteraceae
Description: partial 16S ribosomal RNA
Rfam family: Bacterial small subunit ribosomal RNA
Source: RNAcentral
CAUGUAGGCGGAUUAAUAAGUUUGAAGUGAAAUCCUAUAGCUUAACUAUAGAACUGCUUUGAAAACUGUUAGUCUAGAAUGUGGGAGAGGUAGAUGGAAUUUCUGGUGUAGGGGUAAAAUCCGUAGAGAUCAGAAGGAAUACCGAUUGCGAAGGCGAUCUACUGGAACAUUAUUGACGCUGAGAUGCGAAAGCGUGGGGAGCAAACA